Molecule: ribosomal RNA, 444 nt
Filed under: Catharsius sesostris
Lineage: Eukaryota; Metazoa; Arthropoda; Insecta; Coleoptera; Scarabaeidae
Description: partial 16S ribosomal RNA
Source: RNAcentral
CAUCGCCUCUUGAAUAUAAUUGAAGGUUUGGCCUGCCCUAUGAGUAAUUAAAUGGCUGCGAUACCCUGAUCGUGCAAAGGUAGCAUAAUAAUUAGUUUUUUAAUUGGGAACUGGAAUGAAAGGUCGGAUGAGAAAGAUACUGUCUCAAUUUAAAUUAAAUUAGAAUUUUAUUUUUAAGUAAGAAAGCUUAAAUAUUUUAAAAAGACGAGAAGACCCUAUAGAAUUUUAUAUAUUAAUUUAUAUUUGAAAGGUAAAGUAUUAUAGAUUUAAAUAUAAUUUAUUGUAUUUGGUUGGGGCGAUUGGAAAAUUAAAUAAACUUUUUUUUUAUUUAUUACAUUGAUAUAUGAAUAGUUGAUCCAUAUUUUAUGAUUAUAAGAUUAAAUUACCUUAGGGAUAACAGCGUAAUUUUUUUUAGAGAACUAAUCGAAAAAAAAGUUUGCGACC